This 422-nucleotide ribosomal RNA is filed under the name uncultured prokaryote. RNAcentral describes it as "bacterial SSU rRNA". It matches the Rfam family "Bacterial small subunit ribosomal RNA", at positions 355 to 774 of the family's 1533-position model. The record is from RNAcentral.
UGAGGAAUAUUGGUCAAUGGGCGCAAGCCUGAACCAGCCAUCCCGCGUGCAGGAUGACAGCCCUAUGGGUUGUAAACUGCUUUUAUACAGGAAGAAAAAUCCCUACGAGUAGGGACCUGCCGGUACUGUAUGAAUAAGCAUCGGCUAACUCCGUGCCAGCAGCCGCGGUAAUACGGAGGAUGCAAGCGUUAUCCGGAUUCAUUGGGUUUAAAGGGUGCGUAGGCGGCUUUUUAAGUCAGUGUUGAAAUCCUGUCGCUCAACGAUAGAAUUGCCAUUGAUACUGAAGAGCUUGAGUACAAUUGAGGUAAGCGGAAUGUGUAGUGUAGCGGUGAAAUGCUUAGAUAUUACACAGAACACCAAUUGCGAAGGCAGCUUACUAAACUGUUACUGACGCUGAUGCACGAAAGCGUGGGGAGCGAACA